This 59-nucleotide ribosomal RNA is filed under the name Fusarium asiaticum. Its description in RNAcentral is "partial 28S ribosomal RNA". It matches the Rfam family "Eukaryotic large subunit ribosomal RNA", at positions 1 to 58 of the family's 3401-position model. Lineage: Eukaryota; Fungi; Ascomycota; Sordariomycetes; Hypocreales; Nectriaceae. The record is from RNAcentral.
UUGACCUCGGAUCAGGUAGGAAUACCCGCUGAACUUAAGCAUAUCAAUGGGCGGAGGAA